CAUUUGGUGGAAACUAAACUUCCAAGGAUGCACCAUUGACUGAGGGUCCCUAACUUUUCACACUCCCCCUCCUCUAUCUUCUCUUCUCUUCUCUUCUCUUCUCUUCACUCUCCCCUGAAAGAAAGAAGGAAAUCUCCAGUGUUUCUCCUUCUCCAAUCGCUGUGGAUUCGGAUCCGGUCAUCCGCCAGAGCUCCUGCAGUAAAGGAUUGCAGCGUCUGCAAAGAUGCCGGGAGACCUGGUGGUGAUCUCGGUGCCGUUAAUUAUCCUGCUCGCGAUCGUGGCCCUUGCUUGCUACCUUUUCGGUCGGGCCCGGGGCCGGACCUGACGGAGCGCCCCACACAAUUAUGGGCCACCGGCCCCACCGGUCACAACCCAUCCUCCACCUGCCCCGGCCCGGGAAAUAGAACGCGAUUAUCAUUAGUUUGCUGCAUUGUAUAUCUACUCGAACCUUUUGUGGUUUUAUUUAUAGGAUAUAUGAUGUUGGUGGGUUUGGUAGCUUAUCUGCUUCUUUGCUAAGUAUGGAUUUCAAAUAAUAAUAUUAUAUUUGUCUUAUUGCUA
This is a long non-coding RNA of Elaeis guineensis (African oil palm), 558 nucleotides long. RefSeq lists it as uncharacterized. NCBI's taxonomy places the organism in Eukaryota, Viridiplantae, Streptophyta, Magnoliopsida, Arecales, Arecaceae. The record is from RefSeq and is a predicted model, not a curated record.